AAGUCGUAACAAGGUUUCCGUAGGUGAACCUGCGGAAGGAUCAUUAAAGAGUUAGGGUCUUCUAGGCCCGAUCUCCCAACCCUUUGUCUACUCAACCCAUUGUUGCUUCGGCGAGCCCGUCUUUACGGACCGCCGGGGGACCGUCUCAGGUCCCCUGGCCCGCGCUCGCCGGUGGCCCCAGCAUUAAAUUCUUAAUUAAACGUGUCUUUACCUAAGUAUUACAUUAAAUUAAAAGCAAAA
This 240-nucleotide unclassified non-coding RNA is filed under the name plant metagenome. RNAcentral describes it as "partial contains small subunit ribosomal RNA and internal transcribed spacer 1". The stretch from base 1 to 46 matches the Rfam family "Eukaryotic small subunit ribosomal RNA", at positions 1786 to 1831 of the family's 1831-position model. The record is from RNAcentral.